This 490-nucleotide ribosomal RNA is filed under the name uncultured bacterium. Its description in RNAcentral is "partial 16S ribosomal RNA". It matches the Rfam family "Bacterial small subunit ribosomal RNA", at positions 30 to 507 of the family's 1533-position model. The record is from RNAcentral.
AUUGAACGCUGGCGGCAGGCCUAACACAUGCAAGUCGAACGGUAACAGGAAGAAGCUUGCUUCUUUGCUGACGAGUGGCGGACGGGUGAGUAAUGUCUGGGAAACUGCCUGAUGGAGGGGGAUAACUACUGGAAACGGUAGCUAAUACCGCAUAACGUCGCAAGACCAAAGAGGGGGACCUUCGGGCCUCUUGCCAUCGGAUGUGCCCAGAUGGGAUUAGCUAGUAGGUGGGGUAACGGCUCACCUAGGCGACGAUCCCUAGCUGGUCUGAGAGGAUGACCAGCCACACUGCAACUGAGACACGGUCCAGACUCCUACGGGAGGCAGCAGUGGGGAAUAUUGCACAAUGGGCGCAAGCCUGAUGCAGCCAUGCCGCGUGUAUGAAGAAGGCCUUCGGGUUGUAAAGUACUUUCAGCGGGGAGGAAGGGAGUAAAGUUAAUACCUUUGCUCAUUGACGUUACCCGCAGAAGAAGCACCGGCUAACUCCGUG